GGGUCAGUAGGUUGGUCGUGCCACCGGUACGUACUGGUCUCACUGAUUCCUCCUUCCUGAAGAACCGUAAUGCCAUUAAUUUGGUGUUGCGGGGAAACAGGACUGUUACUUUGAAAAAGUUAGAGUGUUUAAAGCAAGCUAACGCUUGAAUACACUAGCAUGGAAUAAUGAAAUAGGACGAUCGAUCCUAUUUUGUCGGUUUCUAGGAUUGACGUA
RNAcentral lists this ribosomal RNA (216 nucleotides) under Glomeromycotina sp. RNAcentral describes it as "partial small subunit ribosomal RNA". The stretch from base 44 to 216 matches the Rfam family "Eukaryotic small subunit ribosomal RNA", at positions 690 to 864 of the family's 1831-position model. Lineage: Eukaryota; Fungi; Glomeromycota. The record is from RNAcentral.